Perca flavescens (yellow perch) is the source of this 1766-nucleotide long non-coding RNA. RefSeq lists it as uncharacterized. Lineage: Eukaryota; Metazoa; Chordata; Actinopteri; Perciformes; Percidae. The transcript is spliced from 2 exons. The record is from RefSeq and is a predicted model, not a curated record.
AUAAAGCAGGGGGUGUUUUAGGGCGUGGCUAUGAUGUGAUUGACAGUUCGCAGCCUGUCAAUCAUGACAAAGGUUUAGCAAAGCUUACCCGUGGCACAUAAACUUCAAUUUGGAGUUUGACCAGCUUUCUUCGUAGUGACUGUGACACUUUGGUUGCCUAAUAAUGUCUUGUUCAGCAUUCGGUUGGACGACAAGACACUCAAAGGAGUCGGUUCAGUUUUUUCCGGAUAAGUAACGUUAAAUGUUUUUUAAAUACUGUUUUUCGUUAGCCAACGUUAGCAUCCCAAUUAAUAUCAGUUAGCUAGCUAGAGUGCACCUUACUAACCAAGCUAGCGGGCUAAUGUUAUGCAGACGUAUACACGGAUUCAAAUAUAUAUUUAACGUUACAGUCGUAUACUUUAGGUAUGCACAACGGUCUCGCCGGUGAUCUAUUUUUAACCAUAUGUGGUGUUAUUGCUAAUUGAUGCGCAUGCCUAAUCCGCAAGCUAACAUUAUCAUUACAUGUAAUGGUAGCUAAUUUUAGCUUAAAAUCAAAGCCUGAUAUAGCUAACGUUAUGGUGCAAAUUCAUAUUAAACCCUAUAUUCGCACGGGAUUAGAAUCAUUUUGGGACCACGUGUGAUUUAGAAAUUACCCCCUCACAUCUGAGUUUUGUGUGGCGCAUUCGCACAGGACAAGCAGAGACUGCUUUUACUUGAAUAUACUGAAAUUGUUCCUGCCCGAGAGUUUGGCAACGUUACCUGGAGGUGCCUGAAGGACAGGCACAUAUCCUAUCAUCCCCGCCGCGGCAGCACCCACACAGCAUCACCGUCACCUCACCCUCGGACAAAGCCACGGGGGGAGCGCGUAGACUCGGAGACGGAGGUCUCCGGGAGGAGCAGUGGGCCAGAAUAUGCGUUUUUGCGAUAAAAUGUUGCACAUGAAAAAAUAUAUAGAUAUUAAAUUACAUUAGUGUUCUAUCUUGAAAAAUCUUCAGUUCUGCAGCCAAAUGUAUUUUAUAAAGCACCAGGUUCAAUAUUGGAGCGUCACUAUGUAAGAUAUUUUCUCAAAAAAUUCCAAAUACAUUAUUUCAGACUGUUAAUGUACCUAACAAGCAUGCUGUUGCAGUAGUUAUUAACCACUGUUGUUGAUGCUGUUACACUGAUGUAUUUCUUAAACUUACUGUCUACUAAUCUAUUUAUAGACCUUCUGUCAGCACAUUAGUCUGUUUUAAGAUGAGUCACAUACGUGUUACAAUCUAUAUUUACAAGUGCUGUUUAUUACCAAAAUGUAUAUCAUUAAAAAAGUGUUGUGUACAAUACACAUUGUCUAAGAUACAUUUGACAUGUAGCAGUAUGUUUACUUAAUACUGCAUGUCCUCAACUGAAGCAUAGAUUCAUGUACAAGCUCAUAUAUUAAUAUAAUUAAUUGUGAUCUACCAUGCCUUAACUACAUGUUUGUCUUUUACCACAGUCAACCUCUGCGUCAUAUACCGGGUCAUGUCAUAUACCGGGUCGUUCCUCCACUCUGCAUCAGAUCAUAGUCCAGACAACCACACUGCCAUUGGAACCUGACUCCUGCUACCGCUUCACUCCUGCCAUCCACCGGACCAGACACCCACCACCACUGGACCCCACCACUAGCCGGCCUACUAUCUUUCUCUGAUGGACCCGCUCCUUCCCAGAAACCACCGGACCCGUUCUCCAUCCUGGAAACUUGGAUUUCCUUUUCCCCCUCAGAAACCUGGACUCGAUACUUGAGUACUUUAAAUAAAACCUGUUAAUUCACA